GCGUGGAUAUCGAGAGGAACACUCGUGGCGAAAGCGAGCUACUGGACAUUAACUGACGCUGAGGCUCGAAGGCUAGGGUAGCGAAAGGGAUUAGAUACCCCUGUAGUCCUAGCAGUAAACGGUGCACGCUUGGUGUGAGGGGAUUCGACCCCCCUUGUGCCGGAGCUAACGCGUUAAGCGUGCCGCCUGGGAAGUACGGUCGCAAGACUAAAACUCAAAGAAAUUGACGGGGACCCGCACAAGCGGUGGAGUAUGUGGCUUAAUUCGAUGCAACGCGAAGAACCUUACCAAGGCUUGACAUGCAUCUCUAAGCGCGUGAAAGCGCGUGACCCUUCGGGGGAUUUGCACAGGUGCUGCAUGGCCGUCGUCAGCUCGUGUCGUGAGAUGUUGGGUUAAGUCCCGCAACGAGCGCAACCCUUGUGAUUAGUUGCCAGCACGUAAUGGUGGGAACUCUAAUCAGACUGCCCAGAUCAACUGGGAGGAAGGUGGGGACGACGUCAGGUCAGUAUGGCCCUUACGCCUUGGGCUGCACACGUACUACAAUGCCCAGCACAAUGAGAACCGAGACCGCGAGGUGGAGGAAAUCUGCAAAACUGGGCCCAGUUCGGAUUGGAGGCUGCAACCCGCCUCCAUGAAGUUGGAAUCGCUAGUAAUGGCACAUCAGCAACGGUGCCGUGAAUACGUUCCCGGGUCUUGUGCACACCGCCCGUCACAUCAUGGAAGCCGGUCGCACCCGAAGUGCCUGCGCCAACCCGCAAGGGGGGCAGGGUCCUAAGGUGAGGCUGGUAACUGGGAUGAAGUCGUAACAAGGUACCCG
This 817-nucleotide ribosomal RNA is filed under the name uncultured bacterium. RNAcentral's name for it is "bacterial SSU rRNA". It matches the Rfam family "Bacterial small subunit ribosomal RNA", at positions 688 to 1502 of the family's 1533-position model. The record is from RNAcentral.